UUCAUCAUCUGCUGAUUUUGCAAUUGAUCCAACCCGAUGCCCGCCCACUGUCCGCUACCAAAUACACACGUUAUAUGUGGCUUUUUCUCCGCGGCAUCGAGGCGAGGUUUCUGG
RNAcentral lists this ribosomal RNA (114 nucleotides) under uncultured eukaryote. RNAcentral describes it as "partial small subunit ribosomal RNA". The record is from RNAcentral.